AUCUAUGAUCUGUGACGUUCUUUGCCGUUGUUGAUGUAGUUGAUUGGUUGAUUUUGUGUUACGUGGUGGUGGGAGGUUGAUAAGUUGUGGGGCUAUUAGUGUGGUAACUUAUUUGAUUUUAUUGAAGUAUUUUUACGAUGUCUUGUAGUGAAUAGGCCCCCGUUAUGUUUGUAAAGAAUUAUACAGGAGCAUUAUACAUGUAACUGAGAAUUGAUAAGAACAGUUAUUUGCUUUUGUUUAAAUUGUUUCACCGGAAUCCAACAAGUUACCCCUGACGUGUAUUUCUCGUGUGAGAGUAGGUCUGGUAUUGUAACCUAGCCCACUGGACUCGUGCUGGAAGAUGUGGUACUGCGUACAGCAUGUUUUUACGUCGGCGAUUCCCCCAUGCGUUAUCUAUUGUAAUGAUCAUUGGGGGAUUAUUUAUAUCUUUAUUCAUCCUAAGAAAAAUGAAGUACCUGUACGAUAGCAACCAGAAAUAUCACAGGCUUGAAAGUUACAAACAGUAUAUGGAGGAAAUUUCUGACUACAUGCACCAUGUUGAGGUGUCAGCCAACAAAUCAGCCAACAAUUUACAUCGCUUGAACUCUGGACUUCAGAGGCAACAGCAGCAACUAGUGAUAGGAAUGAGUACUGAUAAAUCUACAGGAAGAUGACAUAUAAGUGUAGCUCAGCCAGGAACAGGGUGAGACACAGAGCACAGGUCAUAUGGAGGCAGUGGUGCAGAACUUUCCUCAAACUUGUGUCAUAUCCCAGCAGACCAGAAUAAGGACACCCACCACCAUCAAAACCUGAAAAUUUAUAUCUCACAUUAUAUUGCCGUGUGAAUCUCACACUGCCUGUGAUAAUUUAUUAGUUUUCUAAUUUCUUUUGGUCAUAGCUGUUAUGGCAUAUAGUGUACAGGUAAUUUUACAUGAUUACAUAUGUUUAUUAUGUAGUUCUUGUUUAAAGAACUUAUGUAUAUAUAAACUGUUGUUAUGUAAUGAUGUCCUCAGAAAAAUUCGUUGAGAUUGGUGCUGUAAUUUGCUUUAUGGUCUACUGAAAUAAGGCCCAAAAACAUAAUGUGAAUAUCAUAUAAAGAUCUGUUCACUGUAGAACUUAAGCACUUCUCUUGAGUCAGAUUCAUUUAUAGUACUUUCAUCAGUUUAAUAUGCUGGGGCAUCUGAAAGAUAAUUAUGUUUAAAUCAUUUCAUAGGUCAAGUCUGUGGAUCUUUCAUUAAAGAAGUUUUUGGAACCA
Cryptotermes secundus is the source of this 1234-nucleotide long non-coding RNA. RefSeq lists it as uncharacterized. NCBI's taxonomy places the organism in Eukaryota, Metazoa, Arthropoda, Insecta, Blattodea, Kalotermitidae. The transcript has 3 exons. The record is from RefSeq and is a predicted model, not a curated record.